CGAUGUUAGAAUUACAUAUUCUUUCGAUGGUAUUAUUUUUGAUUCUAUAGCGAAUAAACGGAGAAGUUGGUUCACGAAACACAGACAAUUCGAUGUUAGCUCGGGGGAUGAGUCGUCAAUCUGCUACCCUAAACCUCGUAAAGCCUGCAGCCGCCUGCAAUUGUCAGCGCAGAGCAACUGAUCGAUUUCGAGGGAAACACUGCAGCCUCCGCGUGAUUUCAUCAACAAACUCGUAAUCCUUGCGGACCGUUCCCAACUAGUAUCUACGUAGUUUCCUAGUUUAGGCAUUGAAGUAUAACUAGAAUUAUUUGUGCAGCGGGGCAGGUCCCUUAGAGAUUUUGAUAUUCUGGAAUAUUAGAAUGGUUUCUAUCUAAAAAAUUGUCGAGGUAAAAAGAAAUGAUCAGAAUAAUUUAAUAAUAGAAAUUCUAGAAGAAGAAGAAGAAAUUGUUCACCACGCAUCAAGAAUAAUCCUAGUCGAAUGGAAGAGGAGAGAAGAAAUUUUUUGUAGAGUUGCGACGGUAAGGCCAGAUCAGAGAAGACAGGCAAGGGAGGGAAAAAUAAUCUCCCAGCGGGAUUUUCGACCCUCGCCUCGUUUCGUAUCAGGGAUAGGAAGAGAGGCGGUGAUCGUUAGCGCAGAGGGAUCUUUGAAAAACGUGUUUCAUGGUGAGACAGAGAAAGAGAGGCAGCUGGUGAGCUAGCGAGCAGUCAGGGAGAGCAUUGAAAAGGGGGCGUUGACAAAGGGAGAGUCGUAACCCUCGGGGAGCCCAGCGGGAAAGCGAGUCCUGCAACGCUUUCCUCUUGCCUCAAUGGAAUACGUUAGGACACGGGUUGAAAAAUUCAAACAGCGAAAUCUCUUCAACUCUGCGACAGAAUUUGAACGAUCCUAAAACGUUAUCACCAGGUUUAUCGCAUACAGAGAGUCUAAUAUCUAAUUUGAUGAAAAUGGCUUCAUAGAGAUAAUAGAUAAGAUUGACUCAUAGAGCAAUGCAGAAGAUCAUCACCCCGUCUCUUCAGACUUACAUAUAGUAACUCUCCAGUAGCCAGUUCAUCGAACCAACCAGAGAAACAGAGUCUGGUUAAACCAGAUCCUCUCAUUCUUCCUCUCACUGUGAGAGUAGAUAUACUUUCUCCUUCCGGGACCUAGUUGCCAAGUCUAUGAAAAGUAUGAAGAGGAGAUGGAACGGUGUGGCAAGGGCAAGAGGAGGAAGAGAAGGGCCAGAGAUUGGAGUACGAGAGAAUGUGUUGCAAGUUGCAAGGAAGUAUUGCGGGUAGGGGAAAUUGAAAGUAGGAUGGAAGAACGGUGGAAGGCGGGUGUGAUAGGGUGUAGGGUGUCCCUCAAAUCGCCCCCGCCAUUGGUAAACGUCGUCGUAGCACGUGCUUGCUACGUCACCGCGUGUUUACAGAGAGAUACCUAUAGCCGUUACUCGUGACCUUGUGUUUUGUAUAUAUCAUCCUCCCUCCUGAUGCCCGUGGGAUGUACCUCCCGUGGCCCCGCGGACUCGGGAAUACCCCUAUCCAGUAUCGUCGCCUCCUCUUGCACACCAGAGAGAGGAGUGCUCCUCAAACUCCCCGUGAGCCAACCAGUUGUUCCGUCUGUGACGUAACAGGGUAUCACACGACCUGUCGGUGCUUUGUUGCAUCCUGUUCUAACUCUCCAUCCGGCGUCUCUCUUCGACCUAGACAACCUUCUUUCCUUCUCUCACUCCGUUCCUUCACCGGCCGUCUCUUUUCACCUAACUAUUAACGUCUCUCUUCUUCUUCUUCUUCUAUCUUCCAGAUUCCAGUAUCCCCGUCGACCUACCUCGCACACCUUAUGCCCUUCGUGCCGUACACCGCUGAUUCACUGUGUAAGUGGAUACGCGCACCGCUGUUUUCUCCUGAUUUAACCGAGCGAACGAAAGUGAGAAGAGAGGAUGGUUUAAAUGGGUGAACGCAUCGACUCGAAGGUCGUGCCAGAGCUUACUAGGUCACUGGAACGACUCUGAUGACCCCAACUUCCAUUCCUUUCGGUUACCGCUGCUCCAAAUGGAUUUGGGAUCGAUGCGCCUGCGAGCCGGAGAUUUCCGCUCCUAUUUACUUUUCCUGUUGCAUACUAGAAAACGUACCACGUGGAGCGUUUACUCUGCUAAAUGUAUUUUCGAAAGGCUAAUCCAUUGGAAGUUGCAAGAGAAUAUCAGAUAUUCUUUUGGAUCAACCGAAGCACUCCUGAGGAAGGAACUCUGAGAAGCUUGAAAUGCGUUGUUGCUGGCAAUCGACCAUACGGCAAGGUUACUUCUGUCCUUAAUUUUAGAAGCAUCAAAAAGGAACGCUCGUCACGACCAAAAUAAUAACGUGUAUAUAUGAGGCGUGAAUAAGAGUCGACUACUUCAGUGUGGGAACUGCGACGAAGUUGGAAAUUGUGUAACAAUGUCAACCAUUGCGAUAACUUUAAUUGAACAGUGCAAGUGAAGUCGUUCGUAUAGAAGCAACUGAAGAACAAGUACAAGGAGAAAGUCGGAGAUUGCAGGUGGCCCUUGAACACGGUGUACAAAUCGCGGAUAAAAAGGAAUGAUCUUUCUCUGGUAAAUAAAGACUACGUUUGUUCCUUGGUAGCGUGUAAACCAACGGAAACGGGUCACUGAUAAGGCAGUACCAAGAUCGUCUCGAUCAACGAACGAAAAGUUCCUACGCGAGGAAAAAGAUAUAGCGCUACAUCAGAACAAGAGAGAAAGCUCCAGGACAAGUAUAGAAACUCGAGGAGACUAAAAUUAGUUACUAUCACGACAACGCGUGAGAAACACAACGGGUCGAAGAGAACACCAGAAACCUUGUAAUCAAAGGAGAAGAAAAAGAAAACACUUGGUUAUCUUCAUUGGUCGAGCUUCGCCUCUUGUUUCUGUGUUCGAGCCCCGCGAAUCAAUCUAAAAACCAGCAAGCUGUUUUACGCAAUGACUUCCACAUCAUCGACUACGAUUACGUUAUUUCACACUCUCGAGGAUGUCUACGGACAAGGACAUAGAAAGGCGAGGUGCUGUGACCAUGAUGAAAGAAUUGGUACCCAAGGAGACAAAGAAGAAGAAGAAGAA
Osmia bicornis bicornis is the source of this 3065-nucleotide long non-coding RNA. RefSeq lists it as uncharacterized. The record is from RefSeq and is a predicted model, not a curated record. NCBI's taxonomy places the organism in Eukaryota, Metazoa, Arthropoda, Insecta, Hymenoptera, Megachilidae. The transcript has 2 exons.